Molecule: long non-coding RNA, 1258 nt
Organism: Salvia splendens (bonfire salvia)
Lineage: Eukaryota; Viridiplantae; Streptophyta; Magnoliopsida; Lamiales; Lamiaceae
Exons: 2
Source: RefSeq, a predicted model, not a curated record
UCGAAAUUACUGAACAUCAUCCUAAGCUUUCCUCACACUAAUAAUUAAUAUUAAUGAAUAAUUAAUUUAGAAUGGCAGAAUUGAAUUUGUGUGAUUAGUCCGCAAGCAUGAGAUGGACUUGAGCCACUUGUGAUCGAAGUGGCUCAACGACCCACUCCUCCUUAUAGUAAUAUCUGUGGAGGAAGAUGAAAACGACGUCGCACCCGAACAAUUAGUCAUCUGCAGAACAAUCACCACAACCGACGGAUCCAUCGACAGCGACCGCUUCAGCCGCGCCGAUGACGACCUCCGCUCCAUCGGCUUCAUCAACGACGCGCAAUUACGGAGCAAACAAACCGAUUGCCCCACCGAAAACGGCUCAACGCUACUGCUCUCGCCACGAUUAAUUGGAUCCACGGCUAGAUCUGGAGAUGCCGGUGCCGAAUCUGUUUCCUGGCGGAGCACCCGCAUCCGGCAGAGCGGACAGCUGGUGUGCGUCGCGAACCACUGGUCGAUGCAGGAAACAUGGAAGGCGUGUGUGCAUUUAGGCAGCAGACGCACGGAGUCCUCGUCCUCAAAUUCCCCCAAGCACACCACGCAUUCUCCUCCCUGAUUGACGCCGCGGCGGCGCUUCCAUACGGAGAAGGCGAGGAUCGGAAUCGAUUUGACGAAUUUCUCGUCGACGCCGGUCGGAGGCGGCGGUUGUGCCGGCGCGGCGCUUUAUGCAGUAGUUGACGAGCAAGAGAUGGUAGGUCAUUAUAGCGAUAACUGUGGCAACUAUGCCGAGCAUAGAUAUGAGUAAGGGAUUGAAGAAAGAAGCGUUAGUGGCACUUUGUACCGUAGACGGUGAGCUCAAGCCCUCCAUCGUUCAUCACAUGUACUGUACGGAAAUUUCCAGUCCAGAUCCAUCGAUCGAGCUUAGUUUAUCUUAGAGAAAGAGAGAGACAGUGGAAAUAUACAAAACAAAUGGGCUGCCACCACUAUUUCAAUUGCUGUUAAUUGAAAAUUGGGUUAAUCAUUAUCAUAACCUUUUUCAAAAGAUUUAGUAUUAGGCCAACAUGGAUACACCCAACCCAAUAGACUAUGGCAGCCAAAGCAGGAAAAAAGGUCUGCUCCUUCUCCUUAUUUAUAAAAUUACUAGUAAAUAGAAAAUCAUCCAUUGAAAUUGCUUUUUCUUGUAAUAAAUCCUCUUCUUUUACCGAGUUGUCUCUUUUUAUUUUUCAUCUUUAAAUGGAGAAUAGAAAAAAUGAAAUGAUGCUGUUAGUAUUAUUGAUUGCCA